This 253-nucleotide ribosomal RNA is filed under the name uncultured bacterium. Its description in RNAcentral is "partial 16S ribosomal RNA". It matches the Rfam family "Bacterial small subunit ribosomal RNA", at positions 524 to 776 of the family's 1533-position model. The record is from RNAcentral.
UACGGGGGGGGCAAGCGUUGUUCGGAAUUACUGGGCGUAAAGGGCGCGUAGGCGGUUGGAUAAGUUGGUGGUGAAAACCUCGAGCUUAACUCGGGGCCUGCCAUCAAUACUGCCCGGCUGGAGUGUGGGAGAGGUAAGCGGAAUUCCUGGUGUAGCGGUGAAAUGCGUAGAUAUCAGGAGGAACACCUGUGGUGUAGACAGCUUACUGGACCACUUCUGACGCUGAGACACGAAAGCGUGGGUAGCAAACAGG